UGGGGAAUAUUGGACAAUGGAGGCAACUCUGAUCCAGCAAUUCUGUGUGUGUGAAGAAGGUUUUAGGACUGUAAAACACUUUUAGUAGGGAAGAAAGAAAUGACGGUACCUACAGAAGAAGCGACGGCUAAAUACGUGCCAGCAGCCGCGGUAAUACGUAUGUCGCGAGCGUUAUCCGGAAUUAUUGGGCUUAACGGGCAUCUAGGCGGUUAAACAAGUUGAAGGUGAAAACCUGUGGCUCAACCAUAGGCUUGCCUACAAAACUGUAUAACUAGAGUACUGGAAAGGUGGGUGGAACUACACGAGUAGAGGUGAAAUUCGUAGAUAUGUGUAGGAAUGCCGAUGAUGAAGAUAACUCACUGGACAGCAACUGACGCUGAAGUGCGAAAGCUAGGGGAGCAAACAGG
This 407-nucleotide ribosomal RNA is filed under the name Verrucomicrobiota bacterium. Its description in RNAcentral is "Verrucomicrobia bacterium partial 16S ribosomal RNA". It matches the Rfam family "Bacterial small subunit ribosomal RNA", at positions 355 to 776 of the family's 1533-position model. Lineage: Bacteria; Pseudomonadati; Verrucomicrobiota. The record is from RNAcentral.